Non-coding RNA from Felis catus (domestic cat), 85 nucleotides. The record is from Rfam. Lineage: Eukaryota; Metazoa; Chordata; Mammalia; Carnivora; Felidae.
GCCUUGGUGGCUCAGUCGGUUGAGCGCCCGACUUCAGCUCAGGUCAUGAUCUCAUACUCUGUGAGUUUGAGCCUCGCAUCAGGCU